AGCGUAGGUGGCCUAACAUGUCAACUGUGAAAACCCCGGAGCUCAACUCCGGACUUGCAGUUGAAACUGGUAGGCUUGAGGACGGUAGAGGAAGACGGAACUGCCAGUGUAGGGGUAAAAUCCUUAGAUAUUGGCAGGAACGCCGGUGACGAAGGUGGUUUUCUGGGCCGGUUCUGACACUGAUGCUCGAAAGCCAGGGGAGCGAACG
Molecule: ribosomal RNA, 208 nt
Filed under: uncultured Mesotoga sp.
Lineage: Bacteria; Thermotogati; Thermotogota; Thermotogae; Kosmotogales; Kosmotogaceae
Description: partial 16S ribosomal RNA
Rfam family: Bacterial small subunit ribosomal RNA
Source: RNAcentral